UAGAGUUUGACUUGGCUCAGGACGAACGCUGGCGGCGUGCCUAAUACAUGCAAGUCGAGCGGACUUGUAGGAGCUUGCUCCUGCAGGUUAGCGGCGGACGGGUGAGUAACACGUGGCAACCUACCUGUAAGACUGGGAUAACUCGGGAAACCGGAGCUAAUACCGGAUGACAUAAAGGAACUCCUGUUCCUUUAUUGAAAGAUGGCUUCGGCUAUCACUUACAGAUGGGCCGCGGCGCAUUAGCUAGUUGGUGAGGUAACGGCUCACCAAGGCAAGAUGCGUAGCCGACCUGAGAGGGUGAUCGGCCACACUGGGACUGAGACACGGCCCAGACUUUCCUACGGGAAGGCAGCAGUAGGGAAUCUUCCGCAAUGGACGAAAGUCUGACGGAGCAACGCCGCGUGAACGAUGAAGCCUUCGGUCGUAAAGUUCUGUUGUUAGGGAGAACAAGUGCUAGUUGAAUAAGCUGGCACCUUGACGGUACCUAACCAGAAGCCACGGCUAACUACGUGCCAGCAGCCGCGGUAAUACGUAGGUGGCAAGCGUUGUCCGGAAUUAUUGGGCGUAAAGCGCGCGCAGGCGGUUUCUUAAGUCUGAUGUGAAAGCCCCCGGUUCACCCGGGGAGGGUCAUUGGAAACUGGGAAACUUGAGUGCAGAAGAGGAAAGUGGAAUUCCAAGUGUAGCGGUGAAAUGCGUAGAGAUUUGGAGGAACACCAGUGGCGAAGGCGACUUUCUGGUCUGUAACUGACGCUGAGGCGCGAAAGCGUGGGGAGCAAACAGGAUUAGAUACCCUGGUAGUCCACGCUGUAAACGAUAGUGCUAAGUGUUAGAGGGUUUCCGCCCUUUAGUGCUGAAGUUAACGCAUUAAGCACUCCGCCUGGGGAGUACGGUCGCAAGACUGAAACUCAAAGGAAUUGACGGGGGCCCGCACAAGUGGUGGAGCAUGUGGUUUAAUUCGAAGCAACGCGAAGAACCUUACCAGGUCUUGACAUCCUCUGACAACCCUAGAGAUAGGGCGUUCCCUUCGGGGACAGAGUGACAGGUGGUGCAUGGUUGUCGUCAGCUCGUGUCGUGAGAUGUUGGGUUAAGUCCCGCAACGAGCGCAACCCUUGAUCUUAGUUGCCAGCAUUAAGUUGGGCAUCUAAGGUGACUGCCGGUGACAAACCGGAGGAAGGUGGGGAUGACGUCAAAUCAUCAUGCCCCUUAUGACCUGGGCUACACACGUGCUACAAUGGAUAGUACAAAGGGUUGCAAGACCGCGAGGUGGAGCUAAUCCCAGAAAACUAUUCUCAGUUCGGAUUGUAGGCUGCAACUCGCCUACAUGAAGCCGGAAUCACUAGUAAUCGCGGAUCAGCAUGCCGCGGUGAAUACGUUCCCGGGCCUUGUACACACCGCCCGUCACACCACGAGAGUUUGUAACACCCGAAGUCGGUGGGGUAACCUUUUAGGGGCCAGCCGCCUAAGGUGGGACAGAUGAUUGGGGUGAAGUCGUAACAAGGUAGCCGUAUCGGAAGGUGCGGAUGGAUCACCUCCUUA
RNAcentral lists this ribosomal RNA (1536 nucleotides) under uncultured Bacillus sp. RNAcentral's name for it is "bacterial SSU rRNA". It matches the Rfam family "Bacterial small subunit ribosomal RNA". Lineage: Bacteria; Bacillati; Bacillota; Bacilli; Caryophanales; Bacillaceae. The record is from RNAcentral.